CCCCUUCCCAAAAAUCUGAGUAUCACAAAAACUAAACAAAAUCAAAUCUCAAUAGCAAGAAGACGGUAGAUUUAGGUGAUUUUCUUUUCUGUUGAAAAGACAAGUAUUGUGAAGCAAGUUGGUGCCAAAUACAUGGUAGUUGAUCUUCAUCAUUGUUUGAUACUGAAAUGCUGAAAUGUGGAGUCUAACGGCCUUGUACUGAAGAAGAAAGAAGUAGACAGAUUUAUUAGUAAACCCCUAGUAAAGCAAAUCAGAGGGAGUCAUUAUUGGAGAAAAUGGGAUGGGGAAGGGCGGCAGCAAAUCAGAGGGAGUAUAGCAUUAUUGAAGAAAAUGGGAUGGGGAAGGGCGACAUACGAAGGAGUAACUGCAGUUGGAUCAUUAUCCUUACUGGAUUGGACAUGUUUAUGGUUCUUGAAUCGCAGAUUGUACAAAGAGUAUGAAGAGAAGAGAGUACUUGUUCAGAUCAUCUUCAGUGUUGUUUUCGCUUUC
This 489-nucleotide long non-coding RNA is filed under the name Capsicum annuum. RNAcentral's name for it is "long non-coding RNA (CANN_LNC011633)". Lineage: Eukaryota; Viridiplantae; Streptophyta; Magnoliopsida; Solanales; Solanaceae. The record is from RNAcentral.